UUCAACUGCACUUUUCUCCUGAAGGAGCAGAUUGCAAUUUUAUUUUAUUUUUCAUUUUUGUCCUAGAGGAGGUGUUGCAGCUGUGAAACAAAUGAGAGAAGAGGGAAGGUAAGACAGAGCUAGAGUGGCAGCUUUGAGAAGAAUCUGCAGCGACAACUCGGCCGCAUUUCCACAGCCAAGCAGAGACUGAAAGAAGCCUUGAUCAAUUUCAGGGAAGACUGCAUAGCAGAUGAGACAUAAUGCGAGCACCCAAAGACUAAGUUACUGGAUGUGCUCAGUGCGCCAGCUAUGUACUUGCAAGUGAUGCAGCUGUUCCAUUCAAUCCAUGACUGGCUUCGUAAUCAAUCCAUAUCAAACAGUCUUCACUCCAUCCACCGGAUUGACAGAUUCUGGACAGAUCUUGUCACAGAAGAAAGGUUGAUGAGAACAUUAAAAACAGGCCAUCCGACACAGUGGAAGAGGCUGGUGGAAGACUGUGCAGCCAUAGUCUAGUGCACGUGCAAGCAUCCCCAUCACAUGCCAGACUGGUGCCACCUCUGGUGUCUUUUCAGCACCGUCCUUUUUCAACAAGGGUGCACAAUUUUAUCCCAGCCUGUUUCUGUCUUGGAUUUGAAAUGGCUUUUAUUCAAGAACUGCUUUUCUGUUGUUUUUUUCAAAAAAAAAAUGAAAUGGUUUUUACCGUAUUUACUCGAGUCUAAUGCACAUCUUUUUUGUCAAA
Molecule: non-coding RNA, 718 nt
Organism: Zootoca vivipara (common lizard)
Lineage: Eukaryota; Metazoa; Chordata; Lepidosauria; Squamata; Lacertidae
Source: RefSeq, a predicted model, not a curated record